AGAGUUUGAUCAUGGCUCAGAACGAACGCUGGCGGCAUGCUUAACACAUGCAAGUCGAACGCUCUUGCGGUUUCGGCCGCAAGGGAGUGGCGCACGGGUGAGUAGCGCGUGGGAACCUGCCCCUUUGUGGGGGAUAACCGAGGGAAACUUCGGCUAAUACCGCAUACGUCGGGAGCGAUCCCGAGAAAGAUUUAUCGCAG
RNAcentral lists this ribosomal RNA (200 nucleotides) under uncultured bacterium. RNAcentral describes it as "partial 16S ribosomal RNA". It matches the Rfam family "Bacterial small subunit ribosomal RNA", at positions 8 to 220 of the family's 1533-position model. The record is from RNAcentral.